GGAUGCGAUCAUAGCAGCACUAAAGCACCGGAUCCCAUCAGAACUCCGAAGAUAAGCGUGCUUGGGUGAGAGUAGUACUAGGAUGGGUGACCUCGUGUUGCAUUCC
This 106-nucleotide ribosomal RNA is filed under the name Triticum aestivum (bread wheat). Lineage: Eukaryota; Viridiplantae; Streptophyta; Magnoliopsida; Poales; Poaceae. RNAcentral also lists the same sequence under 1 other name. The record is from RNAcentral.